RNAcentral lists this ribosomal RNA (482 nucleotides) under uncultured bacterium. Its description in RNAcentral is "partial 16S ribosomal RNA". It matches the Rfam family "Bacterial small subunit ribosomal RNA", at positions 28 to 523 of the family's 1533-position model. The record is from RNAcentral.
GACGAACGCUGGAGGCGUGCUUAACACAUGCAAGUCGAACGAUGAAAUGGAGCUUGCUCCAUGGAUUAGUGGCGAACGGGUGAGUAACACGUGAAUAACCUGCCCUUAAUUUUGGAAUAACCCAGGGAAACCUGGGCUAAUACCGGAUAAGUAAACCUGUGGCAUCACAUGGUUUUGGAAAGUUUUUCGAUUAAGGAUGGAUUCGCGGCCUAUCAGCUUGUUGGUGAGGUAAUGGCUCACCAAGGCGACGACGGGUAGCCGGCCUGAGAGGGUAAACGGCCACACUGGGACUGAGACACGGCCCAGACUCUUACGGGAGGCAGCAGUGGGGAAUAUUGCGCAAUGGACGAAAGUCUGACGCAGCGACGCCUCGUGAGGGACGAAGGUCUUCGGAUUGUAAACCUCUUUCAGCAGGGACGAAGCGAAAGUGACGGUACCUGCAGAAGAAGCACCGGCUAACUAUGUGCCAGCAGCCGCGGUAA